Rhineura floridana is the source of this 521-nucleotide non-coding RNA. The record is from the annotation of a RefSeq genome assembly. NCBI's taxonomy places the organism in Eukaryota, Metazoa, Chordata, Lepidosauria, Squamata, Rhineuridae.
GAAGGUUGGACUCCUACGGGGAGGAAGGGCGGGAUAUAAAUCUAACUGUCGUUAGAAGAGGAGUGAGAGAGAUUCCUUCAAAGUCAGACUCCUUUAGAGGCUUCACCAUGGCCCCAUCUCUGUUCAUCCUCGCUCUUUUCAUUUACUGCUCAGGUGUCAGUUCCCAGGCAACUGGGAUUCAGCCUGCCUCUGAGUCGGUGUCCCCAGGACAAACGUCUAAAAUCUCCUGCACUGCUGGUAACAGCAAUUAUGCCAUUCCCUGGUAUCAACAGAGAUCUGGACAAGCCCCUCGCUUUGUGCACUGUGAUGCUUGCAGCAGCAGGGGACCCGGGAUCCCUAACCGGUUCACUGCCACCCGCUCUGGGAAUACUGGUUAUUUAACCAUCACCAAUGUCCAGGCUGAAGACGAGGCUGAUUAUUACUGCAGUAGAUUUGACAGCAGUGGCAGCACCUUACACGGUGGAGGGGGCCGCAGAGACUGCUUCAUUGCAAACAUGGAGAAGGAACAUUUUCUGUCCUGA